CCAAACCCGAGAAGAAUAAAUAUCAAAACAAGAUCGCCGUACACUCCAAGAACAAUCUACCUACGAAACACAAAUUCCGAGGUUCAACCGAUUUGUAUUACUAUUUCGUUAAAUCUUAUCAGAAAAAUGCGAAACAGAGUUAAAUGUUCGAUCAUCAUCACAACGGAUCGACGCCAACAGAAUCACCAGAUCACCGUCAACAAUUUACCUACGAAACACAAAAUCCCAGAUUCGGCUGAUUUCAAUCAUGAUAGAUUUAAUUAGAAAGAUCUAAAAACCCAAUUCAACUAUAGCUCCGAACCGAAACCUAAAUGAAUAAACCAGUAGCAAAAGAGAGAAACAAACGCUGCCGGUAAAACUUUAAAAAGCUUAAACGUCAAUCCCGGUUUUUCCCCUAUUCCGUACGGGCAGUAAGUGAGAGCUGAGGAGAUGUAUUUAUAGAAUAAGAGGCUCAAAA
This 457-nucleotide long non-coding RNA is filed under the name Theobroma cacao (cacao). Its description in RNAcentral is "long non-coding RNA (TCAC_LNC002196)". Lineage: Eukaryota; Viridiplantae; Streptophyta; Magnoliopsida; Malvales; Malvaceae. The record is from RNAcentral.